GGUUGGGGCCGCCACGGACAGGGGGCCGGUCACUUUACAGGUGGAGGGUUUACAGGCUCCAGGACAAAAUGUCCCUCGGCGGAGGGCCCCAGAGCCCUGGGACCACCCCAAAGGCCCUGCGGUGGGAGGGAGCCAGGUGCGCUGCGGGUGCAGAGGAGGGAGGGCAGGUGGGGCACAGCCUGGUGGAGAGAACCUUGAGCCCAGGCGGGCGGACUUCCAGGCACCCGGCAGGACAGGCGGGAUGGGACCCCCGUUUUGAGCAAUGACGCUGGUCCUGAGAGGGCUACAGCAAGGAUUACAGUUACCCCUUGAACAGUUGCCUGGCACAGAGACAGAGGAGCCAGUUGAUGUUGGGUGUUGACCAACAGGGACCAGCAAGGGAGAUAAAGACGAACAGACCCAGCACAGUGUGCCAUCGCGUACCUGACAGGGGAGAGCCGAUGGGAACUCGCACGAUGCAACAAUCUCCUCUUCCAGAUGGUGUUCCAUCCCUGUCACACGUUGCCCAGCAGAGCUCUGGUACUGUGGGUUUCUUUUGUUGACAAUUUCUUUCUGCCAAGGCCAAUGUUUCAAAGAUCGGUGUUGCAAGUCCUGAAUUUAGGAAAGAUCUGAUUCUCCCAUCAAUCCUUAAAUCACCUCCCUCCUGUGCUGGCUGUGACGACACAUGCUGACAUGUUGUGACCUGCCAUGGGGGACAGCCCCUCAUGGCAAUGAGCCAAAGAAGGAACAGCAGAAAGCCCGCAAGGAACUCAAUGUCACCAACAGCCAUGCGCACUUGGAAGGAAAUCGUUCCCGGCUGAGUCUCCAGAUGAGACCAGAGAGGCUGGACCAGCACCUUGCUUGCAGCCUUGUGACAGCCCCUGCGGCCUGGAGGACCCAGCCGAGCGUUACCUGGACUUCAGACCCACAGAAACCGUGAGCUUCCUGACAAGGGGCGAAGGGGGAGGAGGCGGGAGAGCAAGGAAGCAUUUUGAAGACUGGUCUCUAAAUGGCUUCGGGAACCCCGGCAUCAGAAGGGCCUGGGCGUGGAUGGCUGCUUGGUGCCCACCUGCUCACCCGUCACUGGGCCACUGACUGUCACACAGACGCCCAGGCUGGGCACCCAGGAGGCUGCUUCCACCUGGAGCUCUCCCUGGAGCUGGGCCUCGAAGAGGAGCAAAAGUCCGCGCUUCCCCCAGAGCUGUGAGCAGAUGCACCCCGAAACCGAGUACACCGGGGUGGGGCACCCCGGCUCCGCCACGACCCACCCCAAGCUGCAGGGGAGCCGCUGGCCUGCCGGCGGGGGCGGGCGCCACCUGCUGGGCAUAGGUGAGAAGCGCGUCCGGUGCCGGCGUGGGCGUCGGUUCCUGGGAGGAAGGCAGCGCUCGGGCCACGCAGCCCCGGGGCGGGUGGGUCCUGGGCUUCUGCGGGGGCCGCAGCACCCUCCUCCCCACAAGUUUCUCUCAACAGCGGCCUCACGGUGCUGUUCACAGACGUGACAUCUUUAUAUGUCAGAGGUGUGUCAGACACUAAAUCUCUAUUAUCUCCCCAAACGCCGACCAAGUGCCAGCCCCUGGGCCGGGCGCUGGUGACAUGGUGGCCAAGAAGGCGGCCGUGGCCGGCACGGGCCCUGGAAGCGAGAGGCUGAGACCGAGCCACUUGUCACACAGGAGCCCUUAAACCACAAACAUAAUCGUGCUUAAUGGAGAGAGAGUGUAACAUUGCCCCAGACGCCCUCCCCUGGAGCUCUGCAGGCUCAUCAAGGGACGAGCCCGUUAACACCCAGUCCUCGAACGCCGGCCACCACGGACCACCUUUGCUCCUCCACCUCCAGCCCUGUCUCACUGAAUGAGCCCACCAUCCUCCACUAGGGAAAAGGGUCCCUGAAGGAAGAUGUGGCAGUCCUGGGGCCGCCUGGGAAUUGCCCUCUCCUCCCCAGCCUCAGUUUCUCCUCCUGUCUAGUAAGAGGUCAGACGGGACGCUCUAAAAACCUAGGCUGAUCUGAAGUGUGAUGAUGCCCUUUGGUACCACUUGGAUUUCUUCACACAUCUCCCUUCACCAGAGAGUGCAGCGACGCACAGACCCCUUAGACCUACUGCGUCCUCAGCUUCCCCGAGGUGACCCAUCUUUGGGAGAUCAAAGCCAAAUGGUUUGGAGACUUGGAGCAAACCAGACUCCAGGGCCACAUGCAGCUCACGGUUACGGCAGCCAGGACAGUGAUGCGAUGCAGCGGCUGCUGGGAGGGCUCUGAAGGCCUGGCCCUGGGGCAGGUCCCCUCCCUCUCUCAGACUGGCUCCUCACUGUAUCUGCAGACGCUUCUAGAGCUGGGUCUGAAGCCCGUUAGUGGUGUACUGUCUUCCUCUGAUUAUCAAGCUUACACUAACCUGAUGAGGCAAAUUGAAGUGUGUGGACUGCAUGUCUCCAUUCUGAAGAUAUUGCCGUAUGGGACUCUGGCUUUGAAGGGGUCUCCUAGCAGAUGCCCCCCACUCUAGAUGCUGCCCAACAUGCCUCUCCUGCUGCUUGCAUCCCAUGCAGCCACAGAAGAAGAAGGUUAAAGGUUCCCGGCCUCACUUCAUCUUGGAGAUCCAUCAUUUCCUUACUUUCAUGCCAACUCAGCAAUGUGUAAAAAGAAAGUCCUUAAAAAAUAUUUUAUUCAGCAUGUUAAUUAUAAUCAGGGGAGUUAUUAAAGGUUUCUAAUCUGACAGAGCGCUGGAAACAAAAGUUCUUUCUGAGAACUUUCCAGAAUUUUCUCUGGCCUUCAGCCUGUGCUUCUCUUUUAACAUGCACUGCAGCAUAUUGUAAUUAUCCAUGGGUCUGUUUUCUGCUCAAGACCACAGGCUCUUCAAGCGCCAGGAGGAAGGAAAGCUCGGUGUCCUCCAACCUGACGUGGACGCAAAACAAUGAAGGUGCCUGAGAAGCCUGUGGAGAAAGGUGAACAAAUGGAUGAAUGAAUCCUCGUGAUAACUUCUAACCUACUUCAUCAGCACAUGCUGUGAAUUUCAAGAACAACCAGUGUCCUGGGAGUGUAUCGUGGGCUCUCCUAGCAUGCCGGGAGAAGGGAUGGCAUUUAUGCAGGAUAUGAGCACGUCACUCACUACUAAACCCAUACCUUGGUCCGAAGGACCAUAUUUCAGGCAGGAUAUAGUCAAGAAAGCUUCAGAACUGACCAGUAAAAAAAAAAUGUUAAUGCCACAAAAUGAAAAUACUUCAUGCCAGUUAGAAUCUCACCAAUCAAAUUAGGGGCCCGUGGAUUUUAGCAGCCCUAACCAGAGGGCCUGACCAACGGGUAUCAAAAGCCUGGCAGAUAAUAAGCUGGAUUGUCUGAUGGAGCUCAACCCUCAUCUUCCUUAAAAUGGAACUGAUCCUGGUCCCUAAAUAUACAUGCGUCUUUCAAAACCUUGCUCCUUUCCCCACCUACCUUCACACUUCUGGCUCAAGGGGAGAAAAUAACCUACAAGCAAUUCAUCUUCUUCAAGGGCUGCUGGCAAGCAUAUAUAGUUUUUCACAGCUGAGUUAUUUCUGAUCUUGGUCCUACAGAGAGCACAGAGGCUGGGAGACAUGUGGAAGCUGCGCCAAGCCAAACAGUGUCUCAAAGUCGGCACUGGAUCCACGAGCCUCAUGAAAGUUUUACAAAAACUUUCUAGUUUUACAAAAAACACCUUAAAACACUCGUGAUAUAAAACCAGUGAAAAUGAGAGUCAGAGAGGGGAUGGUCCUGAGUGUGAGAGUGAGUUGGCCUCUCAGUCCCCAAACAUGUGGCCUCGGGGCUUGUGAAGAACCACAAAACACUGGAGUUAAACAGGCCCAGGCUCCCCUGGUGACAGCCAAACCCAGAGGUGCGAGGAAAGGUUGGCCUCUCUUCUCAGCUGUGUGACCCUCGGCACGUCACCUACGUUGAGUCUCCAUUUUCUGAACAUAAAACAGAAGUGAUGGUGAUGCUAAUAAGCCUACCUUAUAAGGUUGUCGUAACAAUCACACAACAUCACAUGUGUAGCUAUAUACGAUCACAGUGUCUAGCAAGUUCCCAGAGCAGCUUAAUGUUCAUGGUAUGACAGUUUCUUCUUUGCUGCAUGACAUUUUUAUUAUUGUAUUGACAUUUCUGAGAUGACAAUGAUGAAGGAGAAGAAAUCGAACCUGAGAGACACAGACAUGAAUAAAGUCACUUUAAAAAUCGGUGUCAGAAGCUGGAUGACAGCCCAGCUCUCCAGACUUCGGUCCUGUGUUCUCUCACCAUUGCUCAUGUCUAAUAGUCACCAUGUGUCUAGUGUUACUGUGAACUAAAUCUCUAAAGUGGUUUUGUAUUCACUCAGUGCUUCCAUACAUGUCUUCUUACUUCUGUCUUAUAUUAGGGAAAACUUGAAAAAAAUAGAAGAAAAGCUACCAGUGGCACUCUCAAAGAAAGCAGAUAUUGUGCCUAUGAAACAAGAACAGGACACUACUAAAAAUGAGCGCUGAGAGAAUGUAAAAAGAGCUCUUGGAAAUUAAAAAAUAGCAGAGAUCUAAAUAGUUAGUAGAGGAGUUGGAUUACAACUUUGAAGAAAUACUCCAGAAAGGAGAGCAAAAGGACAGAGAUGGAAGACAGGAGAUGUGUCGGUUAAUUUCAUGUGAUCCUUGGCUGGAUGACAGGAUGCCAGUAUUUGGCUGAACAUUAAUUCUGUGGCUGUGAGGUCUUUUACAGAUGAGAUCAGCAUUGAACUGGCAGGCUGAGUAAAGCAGAAUGCCCUUCCUAAUGUGAGUGGGCCUCAUCCAAUCUGUUGAGGGCCUAAAGAACAGAAGGAUGGAGGAAGGGAAGCUUUGCUCGCUCUGUCUGACUGCUUGAGACAUCGGCCUUCUGCUCUCAGACUGGACCUUACACCAUCAGCCUCUGGAACUGCAUCACUGGCUUUACUGGGUCUCCAGCUUGCAGACAGCUGAUCAUGGGACUUCUCAGCCUCUAUAAUUUCAUGAGAGAGAAUAGAUAGAGAUAGAUAAUAGAACCAGUAAGAUAGGUAUAGAUACAGAUAAAGACGUAGAUCCUACCAGUUCUCUUUCUCUGGAGAACUCUGACUAAUACAGGAGGAAAAAAACGAAGCAGUCCAGGAGACAUGACAUCCAAUUAAUAGGAGUUCCAGGGAGGCAGACCAGAGAAAAUGGAGGGAAGAAUUUGUUAAUAAUUUAGGGAAUAUUCCAAAACAAAUGAACCUAAAUAUAUAGAUUACACAGACAAGCAAGGACCCUUCUGAGCCAAGCAUUAACAGGUCCAUACCAGGGCACAGCACCAUGCAACUUGAGAUGCUGAGACAAAGAGAACAUCCCAUAAGCUUCCAGGGAGAGGAAAAGGGUCACGCAGGAGGGUCAGGAACAGCUUUGAGCUUGCGGGCAGCACAGGCAGCUGGCAGGCACAGGAGCAAUGCAUGGGAAAUGCUGAGGGAAAAGUAUUUCCAAGCUAGAGUUCUUUAUCCAGACAGGCUAUCAAUCCAAAAUGAGGAUGGAAUGAAGAUAUUUUUAGACAUGUGAGGUCUUGAGGCUUUUACAGCCAAUCCUCAUUAUACACAGAUUCUUUAUUUGCAUGUUCACCUACUCGCUAAAAUGUAUUUAUAAUUAACCUCAAAAUCAAUACAGUGCCUUCAGGGUCACUCACAGACAUGCACAGAGUGACAAAAACAAAUGUGAGUGACCUCAGCUGACUCUCUGCCUCUUCUCCAAUACUGUACACAGGUGUUCUUUUUGUGGUUCUGUUUUUGUGCUUUUUUUUUUUUCUGGUGAUUUCACUGUUUAAAAUGGUCCCAAGCAUAGUCUGAAGGGUUGUCUUGUGUUCCCAAGGGUCCCCAAGUGAAAGACUGGGACGUGCCUUAUGGAGAAAAGGCGUGUGUCAGAUCAGCUUCGUCCAGACAUGAGUUAUGGGGCUGCUGGUUAAUGAAUUGGCGGCACACAUUAAAUAGGGUGUCUCUAAACAGAAAAUACACACAAAAAAAGAUUAGGUAUUGAUCGGUUGUUGAAAAUGUGGUGACCGCAGACUCAUAACAGCCUAACCUUGUAAUUCCUCCCAGGAGCGGUGGCCCAGUAUUGGCGAAUUCAGCAUUUAUAGAGAUCGUACAGAACAUAACUACUUCGAAUAAUGGGAAUGGGCCAUGCUUUCCUUAUGCUCUUUCUCAGGAGGUUACCAGAGCAGAUGCUUUACCAGAAUGAGGGGGAAAACCAAGAAAGAAGAAGAUAAGGGAUACAGGAAAUGAGAAAGGCAAAGGAACCCCCAGGCUGUGAGGGGGGCGACCCCAGACAGAAGACAAGCCCCAGGCCUGGAGAGUCCCAGCUCCCCAGGUGUGGGCUCCUCCAGGCGUGGAGAAGACCAGGGGCAUCUGAAAGCCCUGUGAGAAAGUGCAGGACUGAGUUAGAGGCCAUUUCUCUGCACAGAAAACUGGGCAAAGGAGAAACAGGACAAUAAUUAGCUGGCGCAGGGGAAACCACUGCAGGUUAGAUGCAUCAUAGAUAAGGUAAGAGCACUUUCUCUAUCAGCCCCUGUGCAAAACAGCAUUUUAUGCGAAUUAAUUCAUUUAAAGCUACAGCCCUGCAAGGCUGUGUGGACAGCUUUAAUCAAAAGGUUGAGAACGUGUCCAGGACCACACAGCUAAUAAACGAUAGGAGGAUUGGAACCUAGGCAGGCAGCCCCAGUCUCCAUGCCAAAACAGAGGUGACCAACAUUCUAAGUCUGUAUGGAGAGGUCUGAGGCCAUGGGACGAUGUAUGUGGGUGGGAUGUGGGGGGUGGGGGAGAAUGUGGCAGGAAACAGCAAAAUCCUCACCUUCCAGAACAAAGAGCAACCGACAAGGCUGACAGCUACAAAACUAAGAUGCAGGCCCAGAGGCUCAGAGGUCAAAACCAAAGUAAUUAGUGCAAGGAGCUGAA
This is a non-coding RNA of Manis javanica (Malayan pangolin), 6860 nucleotides long. Lineage: Eukaryota; Metazoa; Chordata; Mammalia; Pholidota; Manidae. The record is from RefSeq and is a predicted model, not a curated record.